GCGCGUGCACUCUGCCGUUUGCGGGCCAGCAUCAGUUGGAGCGGUGGGACAAAGGCGGCGGGAAUGUGGCUCUCUUCGGGGAGUGUUAUAGCCCGUCGUGCCAUGCCGCCAGCCCCGACUGAGGUCCGCGGUUCGCCUAGGAUGCUGGCUUAAUGGUUGUAAGCGA
This 166-nucleotide ribosomal RNA is filed under the name Monacrosporium sp. RNAcentral describes it as "partial large subunit ribosomal RNA". Lineage: Eukaryota; Fungi; Ascomycota; Orbiliomycetes; Orbiliales; Orbiliaceae. The record is from RNAcentral.